CGGUGGAGUAUGUGGUUUAAUUCGAUGCAACGCGAAGAACCUUACCUGGUCUUGACAUCCCGGAGACCCUUAGGAAACUAGGGGGUGCUUCCAUCUGGAAGAAUCUGGAGACAGGUGCUGCAUGGCUGUCGUCAGCUCGUGUCGUGAGAUGUUGGGUUAAGUCCCGCAACGAGCGCAACCCUUGCCUUUAGUUGCCAGCAGCUCGGCUGGGCACUCUAAAGGGACUGCCGGUGUUAAACCGGAGGAAGGUGGGGAUGACGUCAAGUCCUCAUGGCCUUUAUGACCAGGGCUACACACGUACUACAAUGGCCGAUACAAAGGGCAGCGACACUGCGAGGUGAAGCCAAUCCCAUAAAAUCGGUCUCAGUCCGGAUUGGAGUCUGCAACUCGACUCCAUGAAGUUGGAAUCGCUAGUAAUCGUGGAUCAGCAUGCCACGGUGAAUACGUUCCCGGGCCUU
RNAcentral lists this ribosomal RNA (458 nucleotides) under uncultured Desulfobulbus sp. Its description in RNAcentral is "bacterial SSU rRNA". It matches the Rfam family "Bacterial small subunit ribosomal RNA", at positions 930 to 1382 of the family's 1533-position model. Lineage: Bacteria; Pseudomonadati; Thermodesulfobacteriota; Desulfobulbia; Desulfobulbales; Desulfobulbaceae. The record is from RNAcentral.